GAUGAAGAACGCAGCGAAAUGCGAUAAGUAAUGUGAAUUGCAGAAUUCAGUGAAUCAUCGAAUCUUUGAACGCACAUUGCGCCCUCUGGUAUUCCGGGGGGCAUGCCUGUUCGAGCGUCAUUACAACCCUCAAGCUCUGCUUGGUAUUGGGCUCUGCCGGUCCUGGCAGGCCUCAAAGUCAGUGGCGGUGCCAUCCGGCUCCAAGCGUAGUAAUUCUCCUCGCUUCGGAGGCCGCGGUGCGUGCUAGCCAGCAACCCCCAAUUUUUUGCAGGUUGACCUCGGAUCAGGUAGGGAUACCCGCUGAACUUAAGCAUAUCAAUAAGCGGAGGA
This 330-nucleotide unclassified non-coding RNA is filed under the name soil metagenome. Its description in RNAcentral is "partial contains 5.8S ribosomal RNA, internal transcribed spacer 2, and large subunit ribosomal RNA". The stretch from base 1 to 120 matches the Rfam family "5.8S ribosomal RNA", at positions 35 to 154 of the family's 154-position model. The record is from RNAcentral.